This 3328-nucleotide long non-coding RNA is filed under the name Marmota monax (woodchuck). Lineage: Eukaryota; Metazoa; Chordata; Mammalia; Rodentia; Sciuridae. The record is from RNAcentral.
GGGACGGGCGCUCGGGCUCUCUGUGCCCGCCGGACCCCGUCGCCCUCCGGAUGCUGCUAGUGGACGCCGACAGUCCGGAGCCCGUGCGCAGCGGGGCGCACGAGCUCGCGCUCUUCCUGACCCCCGAGCCCGGGGCAGAGGUAGGGGACCGGGGGUGGAGGACCCUGCGGGAGUCGCGGGUGGGGACCCGGGCCCUGAAACAGGUGGGAACCCGCGGUUCUCGCAGCAUCCUCGCGCGCCCGAGGGCUGGGGGGCCAGGACCGCCGCCCUCUGGAGCGGGGGCUGCCGGGGGCGACCCUGAGAUGACCGGCGGGUCUCAGCUCGUCCCCGCUGCUGCUGACCCGGGACCCCCGCCCGGGUCCCGGGACGCCGGGUCGAGCGCGGUCGGGGCUGCUGCCCUUUGCCGGGGCUGGCCCUGGGGACGCCCGACGGGCCCUGCCCCUGUCCAGCCCCGGCCUCCUCUGAGCGGUGCCAGAGCCCAGGAGCGGGAAGCCCCGAGGCCGCGGUCCGCUACGGUUGCUAGGAGCAAAAUACCACGUCCCUCUCGGCACUUUCUAUUUUAAACGCAUAAAUAAAAAGUACAGCUAAAACGAGGCUCCUGCCUCCUUCCGGCUGGAGCAGUCUGCUGAUGGAGCUGGGGAAAGUUACCGAAGUCCACUAGCAGUUAUUUAGGGCCAGAAAACAAGCCCGUUCUCUUUUUAAAUCACAAAAGCAGCGCGGAAGCGUUUAAAAUAAAGGCCGGGCGUCGCCCUCUCGUUUUCUUUCCCACUUCAGUUCCAGUUCGCAGAGAAAACCAGCACCAACUGUUGGUGCGCAUCAUUCCAACGCUCAAGAGCGCCUUUAGCGAUGUGGGUACUUAUAUAUCCGUACCUGCAUUAGACGUGAUGAUACAGUGCUCCUCUGCAACUUGCUUCUCUUUACUCAAAAUGGCAUAGAAAGCCGCUGAGGCAGCUGCAGGCCUGUGAUCCCAGCGACUUAGGCGGCUGAGGCAGGAGGAUCUCAAGUUCAAGGCCAGCCUCAGCAACUUCUGGAAGCAACUUAGCAAGACCCUCAAAAUUAAAAAAAAAAAAAAAAAAGAAAAGAAAAAGAAAGAAAGAUUUUUUUCCCGAAGGGCUGAGGCUGUAGCUCAAUGCCAAAGCACCCCAGGUUCAAUCCCGAGUACCAAAAAGAAAAAGAAAGAAAAAGUGCAGGGGAUGGAAACGUGGAGAGUGGCUGGCGAGGAUAAGGUAAGGGGACGCUGUUCCUGGUGAAGAAAGUGUUGUGACAUUAGCAGGGAUGGGUGCAGAACUUUGUGAAGGAAACUGCUGGAUCCUACACGUUAAGCAGGUGAAUUUGGGGGAAUGUGAAUCAUAACUCAGUUUAGGAAGUAACAUGCCAAGACAAAAUAAAAAAGCACGACAAAACCAAAAAAUGAGAGAGAGAGAGAGAGAGAGAGAAGAAAAUAAAUAAAUAAAAGAAGUAGCAUGCAACUCAGAUGCUGUGGUUCAUGCCUGAAAUCCCUGCAACUUGGGAUACUGAGCCAGGAGGACCGCAAAUUCUAGACUGGCCUCACCAACUUUGCAAGACCCCAAAUAAAAUAAAAAGGACUGGGGAGGUAACUCAGUGGUACAGGGCCCCUGGGUUAAAUGAGCGCAUCCAUAAGAACUAUCCUGUAGAAGUAUGAUUCCAACCACAAAUGUGAGAUACCUUUGUAAUUUAAAGUGCCCCAAGAAGCACACACAGAAACACAGAUGACAUCAUUUCACCAUAUUAAGUGUAUCCAAAAUAUCAUUUAUCCAAAAUAAUGCAGAUCCAAAAUAUUUCAACAUGUAAUAGGAAUUAUUAAAAUAAUGACAUUUUACAUUCUUUUCUCUUAACCAAGUUUUAGAAAUCAGGCUUUUUAAAGCCUGUCUCUGGGCCAGCCACAUUUUAAAUGCUCAGUAGUCCCUUGGGGUGGGUGGCUUCUGCAUUAGAGAGUCUACAUCAUUAUUUGACUUAGCAUCCCACCAUGAAAUAAGCAUUGUUUCUAUGAGCACCUACUACGCGCCAGCAGCGUGCUGCUCCGCUUGUAGGUUGUGCCCUUGCACAGGGACUGACCUAGUGGCUGCGAAGUUCUUAUGUAGAUCUCAUAGCUCAGCAACGGGGGCUUUCACUGAAUGUGUGUCGGCUUGUGGAUCCAGGAUUUAUGAACAUCUGUAAGUGGCUCAAAGCUGCUGCCCUUUGCCAGACUGGACCCUGGAGGAGACCCAAUCCCCUAUCACAUCUUGGUCUGGCGGCGCAGGGACAGGUGUCUGCAGUUUCCCCUUGGCUUCAGGGUUCUUAUUUCUUCUUUUAAAAAUAUUUUUGUUGUUGCUGUAGAUGGACACAAUACCUUUGUUUUAUUUAUUUACUUUUAUGUGGUGCUGGGGAUCACCCAGUGCCUCACACGUGCUAGGCAAGCCCUCUGCCACUGAGCCAUGUCCCCAGGCCCUGAGUGUGAGCGGCGAGAGUCCCUGUGCCCAUUCAGGUCCGCUGUGGACAGUCUUCUGAAGAGACUGUGUGUAUUGGCUGUUUUCUCCUCUGGGCUCCUUUACUCAGAACAGCUUUGCUUGGGCUCGUUUGUAAGGGACAUAAUGGAGAACCCCAACUCCCUGUAGCUCCGUGCAGCAAUAAACCCACUUAUCGCGCCUGCUGAAGUUUAUUUACCAAAAGAAGCUGAUUCCAGGCCGCGGCAGCCGCGCCAGGCUCUCCUUAGCGUUGAUUCAUUACAGGCCCCUGAGCUGCAGCUGGCAAAUGAGCCAGGAAAGGGACGUCUGCAUCGGGAAGGGCCUGAGCAGCAGGUGGCCCUCGGGCAGCCCUUUCCCCAGGUCCCGUUGGCUCUUACAGGAAGCAGCUUCUUAAUCCAGCCAGUGCCAGCCCCGCGGAUGUCCAGCUUCCUUGGUGAAAUGGGGCCUGCCCUGUUCUGUGCAGGUCGGCCUGGAGCUGGAGAGGACAGAGCAGCCAGACCUGGGCCUGCCCGCCUGGCGGUCAGACAGCAGGCCAGGGACAGAUAACACCCAUUAGUUGUGAUGAGUGCCCUGGAGACGCCCCAGGCUGGAGGGCGGCUCUGUGUGUCUGGAGUGGAGGCUGGGCAAGGCCUCUCUGAGAAGCUGUGUCUGGGCAGUAGCCCCCGGGAUGUGCAGGGACCAGGGAGCCCGAGGUCCGGGAGGGGAGGAGGAGGGUAGUACCUACCUGCAGUCCUGGAGGGCUUCCCUGAGGCAGUGACAUGUUAGGGUGAGCCCUGAAGCCUGAACAGGAGUUGGCCGGCUCCAGGAGAAAACUAUCACAGGCAGCGGAUCCAUGUUGGAAGAGCCCUGCAGCCUGCUGGGGG